GACAGAGAGAGAGAGAGAGAGAGUAGUCUUCUUCACCAUGGAAGCCACCACCAUCCCUUUCUCAACCCUCACUUCCCGCCGUUUCUCUCUUAAUUCUUCUUCUUCUUCUUCUUCUUCACUUCCAAUCCACAAAACCCUCUCCUCUUCCAAUUCAACAAAUUCAACCACCAUUAGCUCUUCCUGGGCAGCCUCAACUCUCUCCGUUGCCUUCUCUUCCAGAAAUUCCUUCACCAGAGAGUUAUGGGGCUUGCUCAACUCCAAGGCAGAAAUGUUCGGCCACCUAACGAAUGGCCUCGAAUCAUCCUGGAACAAGCUCAAAGGAGAAGCUUUUCCCAACGACUCUCCUCUAUCUCUCUCUUCCUUUGCUAUGCUCAAAUCUGGUUCCACAAGGCUACCGAGGGCUUCAUCUAGGAAUACCAUUCUCCGUUGUGGUCGAUUUGAGCUCCGUUACACCAAGUUUCGACAGCAACGUGCUAACAUACAAAAAUCCCAAUUUUUGACAAUGGCUCCAAGCAAGAAGAAGAAGACACCACCAGAUGAUCACUCCAUUCACUCUUAUUCCAGUGAAAACAACCUCCCACCACCAGAUCCAGACGUAGGUAAGAUACACUGGAAGCGGGAACUAAGUGUCGAUCACAACAUUAAUGUGGAUUUGGUUGCAUUGGUUCAAACCUUAAGAAGAAAAAACUUACCUCAUGUUGCUCAGGAGAUUUUACAUGAGAUCAAUUCUGGAAGUCUUCCACUUGACAACUCUGCCUUGUCAGCUCUGAUGCUUUGCUAUGCUGAUAAUGGUCUUUUCCACGAAGCACAGGCAAUUUGGGAUGAAGUUUUAAACAGUUCUUUUAGGCCUAAUAUUCAUAUAAUUUCAAAACUCAUUGAAGCCUAUGGUAGGAUGGGACGUUUUGAUGAUGUGACCAGAAUUCUGCAUCAAGCAAGUUUGAGAGACUCUAACUUGCUACCUGAGAUUUAUGUAGUGGCUCUCUCUUGCUUUGGAAAGCAAGGACAGCUUGAGCUGAUGGAAAAUACACUUAGAGAGAUGGGUUCAAGGGGUUUCUCAGUAGAUUCUGCCAUCGGAAAUGCUUAUAUCAUAUAUUACAGCUUGUUUGGUUCUCUGACUGAGAUUGAAGCUGCAUAUGGCCGUCUUAAAAGGUCUAGAAUUCUCAUAGAAAAAGACGGAAUAAGGGCAAUGUCAUUUGCCUACAUAAAGGAAAAGAAAUUUUAUAGAUUAGGUGAGUUUCUGAGGGAUGUGGGUCUUGGUAGGAGAAACGUGGGAAAUCUUCUGUGGAAUCUUCUGCUUCUAUCAUAUGCUGCGAAUUUCAAAAUGAAAACCUUGCAGAGAGAAUUUUUGAGAAUGGUGGAAGCCGGAUUCCAUCCUGAUCUUACAACAUUUAACAUUCGAGCUCUAGCUUUUUCAAAAAUGUCUUUGUUUUGGGAUCUCCAUUUAAGCAUUGAACAUAUGAAGCAUGAACAAGUUGUCCCUGAUCUUGUGACUUAUGGUUGCAUUGUUGAUGCUUACUUGGACAAAAGACUGGGAAUGAAUUUGGACUUUGCUUUAAGUAAAAUGAAUGUACAUGCUUCUCCACAGGUAUUUACGGAUCCAUUUGUUUUUGAGGUUUUGGGAAAAGGAGGCUUUCACUCAAGCUCAGAGGCAUUUUUGGAGUUUAAAAGGAAGAACUGGACUUAUAAGGAGCUGAUCUCAACCUAUCUCAAGAAGAAGUAUCGGAGUAACCAAUUGUUUUGGAAUUACUGAUGAGUGCAUUUUGGGUAAUGAUUUGUGUGCAUAUACUCUAACCAGUUGCUUACUGAUGAUAUGUCAGCUCUUAACUGCUUAGGCUUUUAGAUCAACAAGCGAUCUAUGGGCCUGCAGCAAUAACUGAGUUCUAUGCCUACACCACAAUUCAGGUCUUAUGAUCUUCCAUGCACUAAUUCAUCCAGAACAUAUGGAAGGAGGACCAAAUGGGCAGAAGAUAUGCAAUGGAAAUGUAGAAUGGAACACCAUAUGGAAAAGAUUUCUCUAAUUGAGACCCCCAUAAAUACUGCACAUGGCCUUUGUGGCAAGACUGCAUCCAUGGCCAACCAUUAUCCACCUCACCCAUGAUCCAAAACUCCAAUCAACUACAGGUUCAGUGGAAACAGCCCCUUUCUAGGUUGUUCAAGGUCAGGUAGUAUGAAGAUGAAGGCUGACAUGGAUGAAUCUUCACCGAAUGCUACCAUGCUUGCAACACAAGAUGUUGCAUACCAAUGCAAUGUCUUGGGUCUUUCCCCCCUUAAUUUUUAUAUGCUGAAUUAUAUAAUGUUUCAAGCUCCAGGCUACAUGAGGGAACAAAACUAAGAUCCCUGGACCAGGUGCUCAGUCUACAAUCAGAGCUCUUGCUCGUUCAGGCUUGAAAAUUGGUCAUAUAUGUUGAGAAUCUCUGUUGCCUUAGUUGUGUACUUUUACAAGUAUUUGGUUUUUUGUAUAUGAUUACUAUAAUAGUGCUACUGACUGGAUUUUCUUUAACUUGCGAUCUUCCUUGUAUGGAACAGGUGAGAAAUUCAAGCUAUUGAAUUUGUUGUUAAUUAAGGAAAUAUUGCCCUAAUUACUUUGUCUUUUAGACAUCUUAUGUGUUUUUCGUAUCUUUCUUGGACCUUUGUUAAGAUCAAAUGUUCCUGCCAUUGAGAACCUGCAUUCAAUUCAUCAUUGGAUAUUGCUGUGCAGUGCAUGUCACAAUGCUGUAUUUGUUAAACUGAAAUUUAUUUCGUUUUUUCUUUUUCUUUUCCUUUUCUAAUAGCCCAAAUUUGCCCCAAAUCUUCUGAGCUGUAUUCCUAACAACAGUAAAGGGUAACUUCUUAUCCAGGAAAUUGCUCACCAAAUAAUCUUUCUAUUUCAAACAGCCUUCUUAUUCAACAUUUUUUCUACUCUCAACCAUAACAGGGGGAUGAUAAUCAAAAUUCAUAUGCUUCUCAAUCAUACCGGAUUGAGUAA
Camellia sinensis is the source of this 2965-nucleotide RNA transcript. It is a transcript of the gene named pentatricopeptide repeat-containing protein At3g42630, with no coding region annotated. Lineage: Eukaryota; Viridiplantae; Streptophyta; Magnoliopsida; Ericales; Theaceae. The record is from RefSeq and is a predicted model, not a curated record.